UGGUUGAUCUGUGGUGAGUGCUGGUUGGACGCUGACGCGUAUGCAGCUCCAAACUUACCAGCCAGAGCAGGUGCGUAACCAGCGUGGCCUCUUCCUGUUUGGAGGUUGUUCUCCUCGGGCUGAUGAUCCCCUCCCCAGCUCGACAGAGCGCGGUCAACCUGCGGUGCCGUCUGGGGGUAGUCGGCGUUGGCGGUACGCCUCCACGGCUCUGCCACCUGGGCUAUGUUGGGUCCCUCGCUACUUCACCUUGGCGUUCCUGGACGACUGGAUCCAAGCAGUGGGCCCCAAGGCUCCACACUGCUGUUUUGUUAACUUUCUUUUAAUACGUAUUUUAGCCCGCUGCUGGGCGGGGCUACAGAGUGUUUGGUUGCCAGGGCAACCACUGGAUCUCCCACACCGGAUACAUUUAAUGGAGCCAGUUUAUUUAGGUUUCCCCUGUUUUUAACAUAACUGACCUGUAUAGCACCUCCUUAACUUAGUAUAUUUUUAUCUGUAUGCUUUUAGAUAACUGUUGAAGGCCAUGCACCAGUCUGUUCCUCUGGGUGCACGGACCUAGGUCCUGUUGGUUCCCUGGAGCCGGCAGGCUCUGGAGUGGUGUUGUUGCAACAUUUUAGCUUAACUUGGUACAGACUCAUUUUGCCACAAGUUAUAAUUAUGCUAAACCAUCGACAUAUAUACUGGACAAUUAAUUUCCAUAGGCUCCAAUAUCACUUUUUUGAGGCCAAAUGGGAGGUGGCCACCACCGCCAUUUUGACCGUGUCACAGGUUCCGUCAAGCCCAGACAAUUCCAAAAAAGGGAAGAGAGGAGGAGCUGAGGGUGGGGCUGUAAGGCUGGGAUCGACUGACGACACACGGGUUAAACUAGCUACAAGCUAACCCAAAGCUAAUGCGGAGCGGAGGUGGGAGCUAAGCUAACGGAGGUAGCAACCUAUCUACAACCGGAGUUAACUGUGCACCACACCAGAGCUUCUGAGUCAGAGAUACGCCGGGCUGACGGCUGGGUAAAACCGCAUGGAACACAGAGGUCUCCGAGACCAGGUCUCGGAGCAAAAUGGAGUUAACGCAGCACCUAAUCAAUGCUAACAGGCUGUCUGCUUUAAAAUAUGCUUAAAGUUAAUGUGUAUAACAACGUGUUCUGUCAAAGGAACAACUGUGAUUGGAGGUCAUAGUAUGUCAUCCGUUUAAAAGUAAAAAAAAAAAAGCAUCUAGUCAGGGGCGGAUUUAGGACUGAAGAAGAUCCGGGGCUUAACACACACGCGCGCGCACGCGCACACACACGCGCGUGCACGCGCACACACACGCAUGCGCGCACACACGUGACACGCACUAGUCAACAUCAUAUAUAUUUGUCUUGUACCACAUAAUGUUUAAUCUGAAGCUACAUAUUCAGCAUAUUCAGGGCAGAGUAUUGUUCCUGUUAGUGUUUAGUGUGAGAUGAUAGUGAAUAUUCCCUUUCUUUCUCCAACAACUUUACCUGAUAGUAAGCUAACUUUAGGCAAACCAGCAGCACAACAAAUAUUUUCAAAUAAGACUCACAAACCUGAGUCAACACCAGUCUCAUCAGAGCUGGGGUUCUGUCGUUGUACUUUUGGUCUAAAAAAACGUCCUUAUAUCCAUCUUCACUCAUGCGUUUCAGACAGAGACUGCAGAAGCCAGCUGCUGAAGGGCUUCUCUUCAGUCUCAGGUAAACUGUAUAUUGACUAAGUAGCCUAGUGGUAGAGUGUCUGCCCUGAGAUCGGGAGAUCAGGGGUUCGACUCCUGGUCGGGUCAUACCAAAGAUUUUGAGAAAAAUGGGACCCAAUGCCUCCCUGCUUGACACUCAGCAUUGGAUUGGGGUUGGAUUGGGGGGUUAAACCACCAAAUAGUUCCCGAGCGCGGCGUGUCUGCAACUCAGGGGAUGGGUCAAAAUCGGAGAAUAAAUUUCACCACACACCUGUGUGUGUGACGACUAAAUGGGACUUUACAAACUACUGCCAGCUGCGCCCUCUCUGUGUGACUUUGGUACUGCAUGUUACUUCCGCGAUUUAGAUCCGGGGCUUAUCAUGAAAGAUCCGGGGCUUCAGCCCAAGUAGCCGGGCCUAACGCCGCCCCUGCAUCUAGUACAGUAAGUGACUCUCCGAGACAUGAUAAUGGCUAGCCUCUCUGAUGCUAAUGCCAGCCUAUCCAUGCUUAAAGUCCGUUGAGGGGGUAGGAAAUCCAGCUAGUGGCCAGCCUAGGCACGUUAAUGGCUAGCCUCUCCAACACGUUAAUGGCUAGCCUCUCCAAUGCUAGCACCAGCCCGUCCAGGCUAACGCUAGCCUAUCCAUGCUAAUAGACAGCAGAGGGAGUGUGUGAACCGGUCAAUGACCAUCCGAGGGCUGCUAGUCCCUAGCGUAUCUAGUAAUAACGCCGGUAAAGGUGCUAUUUCUCAGUAAGCAGCGCCAGCCUCUCAGUUACCGGCGCCAGCUAAUCAUUAAUCAGGUCGGUAGUUUGCUUCGGAAUUUAUAUAGCCUCCUGCUGCUGGGCAGUAGUCUUAAUUUUGGCCCCCAUACCGCGCCAUAUAAAUCAACAUCGAGGAUUUGACCUCUAACGAUAAAUGACGAUAACUACAGGUGUGUGCAGACAAAGGUUGUCCACUAGAUGGGGCUGUCACGUGUUUUACGUUGAGUCACAUUUUUACGACUCAAGGUGGUAAAGCUUCUUAAAGGGACAUGAACUUUGCCCACCUACGCACAUCUUGUCAUUUUUUAUUAUAAAACUUGAGAGUCGGGACUAAUUUUCUCGAUGAGAGUCAGAAAUUUCAUUAACGAUAAAUUUUCUAUUUAUUACCCAGCCCUUGUCUGCAGUAGAGGGUUAGAGAGGUUUCUCUCAUGCAGCGCCUCUCAAGAUAAAAACCACGAGGUGCUUCACAAAAACAAAGAAAAACAAUUAAGUAUGAAAGAUUUUUAAAUAUGAUUACAAUAUGUUUACAUUUAGAAAAAGGAAAUUGUGAUUAAAAUAAUGAUAAUGUAAGGAAAGGGAGAGAGAAAAGGAAACCAGUGGAUCCUGGAAAAGGUGGAAUAAGGAGAGUGGGGAUGAAGGUCCCACCAAAGCCUGAACAGGUGUCUUCAGCUGCUUUGUGUUAGCAGUGCUCUGCUGCCACCUAGUGUUCAGCUCUGAACACAACAGUCUAAAUGUUCCAUGUGCAUUUACACGUCAGCAGUAACGCCUAUAAUAUCCACACAUCCCAACAAAUCCCACAGUAGUUACCUUUGUAAUGAGACCAAAGUAAUCUUACACAGAUAUACUCUCUAAAGGAUGUCAUCAUUCAGUCAGACGUCCAUCACCUGGGCCUCACUAACACUAGUUUUAAUUAAAAGAACUGCUUGAGGGUAAAUCGUGUUCAAGGGUCAAUGGGUGAUUAAUCAAGAUUAAUUACAAAGCCUCUAAUUAGAUUAUUUUAUAAUCGAGUCCCACCUCGUUUGUACACCAGAGAAGAUGGCUAACUUUUUAUUAGUGGUAGGAAGUUCUAGAAAUCGCGGUUUAGAGGUGGAAACUGCAUGAAGAAGUGGAAGAGAAGGUGUUAAAAGGUCUCUGAAAUACAUAAACACAAUGUCAACACAGGAUAGUAAAUACACUAGAGACAGGACUGCUGGGGUUGCAGCAUCUAUCUUUAUAACCUCAGGAAGUCUGAAUGAUUCAUUUAGUCCAGAACAUCAGAUUCAUGAAUUCCUUUUAUUAAAAAGCAGUUUAACGACAGCAGGUUUAUCGUUGAUGUGAAGCUGAAACUUAAUCAAACGAGUAGAAAACAGCCUCUAAACAGGAAGGAGAAAAGAAAAGAUCGCAUUAUCGGUCUGCUGUAUCAGGUGACCAUCAGAGGAUUCUCAAAUCAGCUGGUCACACAGCACCCCCGCUGGUGGAACAGCAGACCCGGACCUGACCGAGAGACCCGAUCAGACCCAGACCUGACCAAAAGACCCGAUCAGAACUGUACACCUGAUCAGAAUCCAGAGACCCGAUCAGACACAGAGACCUGACCAAGAGACCCGAUGUGACCAAGAAUCCCGAUCAGACCUGGACCUGACCAAGAGACCUGAUCAGACCCGUACACCUGAUCAGAACCCAGACCUGAACUGAGACUCGAUCAGACUCAAACCUGACCCUGAGACCCUAUCAGAGCCUGAGACCAGAUUAGACCCAGACUUGAUUCAGAGACCUGAUGGAUUCUGGACCCGGUCUCUCCUGGGCGAACCUUAAUGUUCCGGUCAUGAUGACAAUGUAUUGAACAGUCUGUCAGAACCAUCAUGAAUAAGAACUUCAAGACUUCGAGUUCAGGUCCUGUAGUGUCUUGUGUACAGACCUGGCUCACUGGGUCUCCUCCGUUUGCUGUGAAGGUGUUUUGGGUCGUAUCUGCUCCUCGGUACUAGCUCCAUCAGCAGCUGCUCCUGAUCCUGGACCAUUGGGGUUUGUCACCUCUGACCCACUCUGCAGAAACUUUCUCAGGUCCUUCAGAGCCGGUCUGAGCAUCUGAACCAAAGCGAGCAAAGCGGCCUGGGUCCCCUCUAGAGCCUGGGCCUGGCGUUCCUGGGCCAGCGCCUGUACCUCCUGACAGCGCCGCAUCAUCUGCAGCAGCUCGUUCUGACCCUCCAGGUGCUGGGCGAUCUGUCGCACGUGCACGUUGGUGACUCUCUGCUCCUGCAGCAGGCGGGCAGAGUUCAGGGCGAUCCGGCUCUUCAGCUCCUGGGGUUUGACCUGAGACGGCACCAGAGGCGGAGAGGACGAGGACGAGGCCAGCAUUUCCAUCGGAGUUUCAACAGCAGUCACCACGGUGGGGGUGGGGUCACCCAUGCUGGUUGUGCAGUACUCCACCACACCUCCGUCCUCCAGGGUGUGGAAGGUGGUUUCAGCUGUAGACAGGGCAGGUCAGACAGAGAAGACAGGUUUCUAUUGACUAGAUUUAUUUCACCGUUCAUUUUUCUUAAAUAAUUGUAUGUGAAAGUUUUUUCAACUCUACCACAGGGGUAGACCGAUAUAUCGGGACGAUUUACCUCCUUACCGUCACUUUACCUGUUUAAAAAUUAGGCACAUGCUUGGGCUGCUGUACAAAGUAAUUUUUAAAUAGGAUGGGAGGCUGAUCUUUUAGCUGUUAGGCUCCUCUCCUGUAGAACCAGCUCCCAGCUUCAGUCCGUGAGGCAGACACCUUGUCUACUUUUAAGAAUAGGCUCAAAACAUUUUUAUUUGAGGGCCUAUGGUUAAAAUCUGAUGUUAGCCCAGAUCUGGACAAGUGGGGGAGUAGAGGGAGGUGGAGUGUACAGUCGGUAAAGACGGCUCUCCCUUGCCCUGCCUCCAACAUGCCUCCAUCUAAAAGGCUAGGUUAUCCAGAGUUAUCUCUGUAGUUAUGCUGCUAUAGGCUUAGACUGCUGGAGGACACACUGACCACUUUCCACACUCGACUACUUUCUUCUACAAUCUGCUCUUUAACUGUAUUAUUUUCUGCUAUUUCAGCUGUUAACUUUAUUUUUUCUCUAAGUGUUUUUCUCCCCAGAAGAAGCUACAACGAUGUUCUGCUGAGCUGUGGUGGCCUCAUGGAGGGGCCAUCGUCUAGCACACUGCUGCUAGUCACUUAAACAUUCUCCCUCUCCUGAUAAUAACUUUUUACUCUCUUUGACAUAGAAUGUGCUACUACUAGUUUACCCGUUUAAUUAUAGAUUCACUAGAAUAAAUACAAUAAAGUUUAUCUCUCACCAAAUAGAAUAUUUACUAAGAAAUCACAAUGUAAACUGUGUGUGCUGCUUAUACUGAGCCAGGAUCCUCUGGAGGUUUCUUCCUGUUAAAAGGGACUUUUCCUCUCCACUGUCGCUGCAUGCUUGCUAAGUAUGAUUGCUGCAAAGACUUGGACACUAGUCAGUGACUCGAUGCAACCUGCUGGGUUCCUUAUAUAGGAAACUUGUUAUUGGCUGGCUUAAUGACCUGACCUGUGUUGGGAGUGUUUACUGUGUGAAGGUCCUAGAGACGACGCUGGUCCUGACUUGGAACUAUAAAUACUUAAUAGAAUUUUAAUGUAUAUGAAUGUUUCUGAAUAACAUCUGUAUAAUAAAUACUUACUUUCAACAAAAAAAUGUAUUUUUUAUUAGCCAGUGUUGAAUAUUGGAUACUUGAUCAGUUAAGUGAUUAAUUUAAUCAACUUUAGUUACAUUUUAAUUUUGUGCCCGGCGUUAAAAUCACACUUCAGAGUUCAGCUGCGGCUAAUGUCACGUUAGCAUCAAAGUAGGUAAACAACGUCUAACGCAUCGGUAACAAAAAACCAGUCUACCUCUACUCGGCUGCUCCAGAACUUUGUGUCUUCCUCA
Nothobranchius furzeri (turquoise killifish) is the source of this 6308-nucleotide non-coding RNA. The record is from RefSeq and is a predicted model, not a curated record. NCBI's taxonomy places the organism in Eukaryota, Metazoa, Chordata, Actinopteri, Cyprinodontiformes, Nothobranchiidae.